UACGGGGGGAGCAAACGUUGUUCGGAAUUACUGGGCGUAAAGAGCGUGUAGGCGGCCAAGCAGGUCCGCUGUGAAAACUCGAGGCUCAACCUCGAGACGUCGGUGGAAACCGUUUGGCUAGAGUCCGGAAGAGGAGAGUGGAAUUCCCGGUGUAGCGGUGAAAUGCGCAGAUAUCGGGAAGAACACCCGUGGCGAGGGCGGCUCUCUGGGACGGUACUGACGCUGAGACGCGAAAGCGUGGGGAGCGAACAGG
Molecule: ribosomal RNA, 253 nt
Filed under: uncultured bacterium
Lineage: Bacteria
Description: partial 16S ribosomal RNA
Rfam family: Bacterial small subunit ribosomal RNA
Source: RNAcentral